RNAcentral lists this ribosomal RNA (277 nucleotides) under uncultured Staphylococcus sp. RNAcentral describes it as "partial 16S ribosomal RNA". It matches the Rfam family "Bacterial small subunit ribosomal RNA", at positions 505 to 781 of the family's 1533-position model. Lineage: Bacteria; Bacillati; Bacillota; Bacilli; Caryophanales; Staphylococcaceae. The record is from RNAcentral.
GUGCCAGCAGCCGCGGUAAUACGUAGGUGGCAAGCGUUAUCCGGAAUUAUUGGGCGUAAGGCGCGCGUAGGCGGUUUUUUAAGUCUGAUGUGAAAGCCCACGGCUCAACCGUGGAGGGUCAUUGGAAACUGGAAAACUUGAGUGCAGAAGAGGAAAGUGGAAUUCCAUGUGUAGCGGUGAAAUGCGCAGAGAUAUGGAGGAACACCAGUGGCGAAGGCGACUUUCUGGUCUGUAACUGACGCUGAUGUGCGAAAGCGUGGGGAUCAAACAGGAUUAG